Molecule: small nucleolar RNA, 107 nt
Organism: Gossypium raimondii (Peruvian cotton)
Lineage: Eukaryota; Viridiplantae; Streptophyta; Magnoliopsida; Malvales; Malvaceae
Rfam family: Plant small nucleolar RNA R71
About the family: R71 is a member of the C/D box family of snoRNAs containing the C (UGAUGA) and D (CUGA) box motifs. Multiple nearly identical copies of this snoRNA have been identified in Arabidopsis, and it is thought to function as a 2'-O-ribose methylation guide for 18S ribosomal RNA.
Source: Rfam
AUACCAUGGUGAGGGCACUUUUGUAAUAACUCUUUGAAUCACUCAUAUGCCUCAUAUAAUGAUUUUUCGUCAAGUUGUUGAAAUGAGGUGAUUUCAUUUUGGAACUU